Molecule: ribosomal RNA, 114 nt
Filed under: Sinocyclocheilus grahami
Lineage: Eukaryota; Metazoa; Chordata; Actinopteri; Cypriniformes; Cyprinidae
Source: RNAcentral
GGCAGCCAUAUCACCCUGUAGCCCAAGGCUGGUUGCCCACUGAAGCUAAGCAGGGCUGAGCCUGGUCAGUACCUGGAUGGGAGACCUCCUGGGUCUGUGUGGGUCCUAAUGCCC